Long non-coding RNA from Macaca fascicularis (crab-eating macaque), 1911 nucleotides. The record is from Ensembl. NCBI's taxonomy places the organism in Eukaryota, Metazoa, Chordata, Mammalia, Primates, Cercopithecidae.
ACAGGCAGGGUUUAUUUUCUCCUAGCAUUAGAGCUUGGAGCUCUCCAGGUAGACAGCUGGAGACACCAGGUUAGCAGCUGCCCAGCGUCCAGUCGGGGCCUGUGACUGCUGCACAAGCUCCUCACCCCCAGGGCUGCCCCAGUCAUUUGCUACCAAGACUCCUGUCACAGGCUGCUCCUGAACCAAUCACUGGAUUGACUGGCUCAGGCUGGUCACCGCCCUCCUUGAAGAGAAAGAGGCUGCAACUCCCAGAUCAAGGGACCUUUGCCCAGCACUGAAAAUGGGAGCCCAUAAGGAAGGAGGUGGCUGUCUGGUGGCAAUGAACAGUGUUUGCCACGGGGAGGUGUCUGAACAUCCAGAGGGCGUGCUCCUCUCACUUCACCAACACUGAGGGAGCACACCUGGUGUGUGACUGGCCACCUGGGCAUGCAUGUGAGCCUGGCAUCCGUGUGCCAUACUGCACAGACACGGGCAGGUGCUCAGACGGUCCCUCCCUGCAGAGGAGGCCAACAAUGGAGGCAGGGCAUUGCUGUUGGAAGGAACAGCCAGGCCACCCUGCUAAGACUGAGGGGAAGGUGGCGUGGGUGGAGGUCUCAAGGGCAAAUUAGGUCACUAUAGGGGGUUUGGAUUUUCUUCCGAGAAGCCUGUGGAUUUUUGAGCAGGAAUAGAUGCUCAAGCCUGGCCUGUUUUACUUGUUUAUUUACAGACAGGGUCUCACUCUGUCCCCAAGGCUGGAGUGCAGUGGUACAAUUAUAGCUCACUACAGCCUCGACCUACUGGGCUCAAGUGAUCCUCCCACCUCAGCCUCCCAAAUUGCUAGGACAAAUGCCACCACGCCUGGCUAAUUAAAACAAAUAUUGUUGGCCAGGCGUGGUGGCUCAUGCCUGUAAUCCCAGCGCUUUGGGAGGCUGAGGCGGGUGGAUCACCUGAGGACAAAUAAAAGGACACAAAAACACAAAGACAUACCCACCCUCCUUGCUCCCUAUUGCUACACCCUUUGUUCUGCUUUCUUAUCUCUGCAUGUACCAGAGGUUUUGAAUUUUUGAAAGUUCUGUAAGUACCUGUUUUUCUUCCUGGGGCUAGGUCACAAGACAUGUUUAAGUAAGAUAAACUCAUGCUGCCAUAAACCAGUUGUGCAACCUGACGCAAUAUAAUUAACUGCCUUUGUGCAGAAACUGCUCUUCCGUCUCAAGGGUUGAACUGAGAUACCAGAAAUGGCGGGAACCAAUCAUAGUUAGCCAAAUCGCCUUGUUCAAACACCAGCCAAUCAUACAUCUGAUCUGUAUAAUGAUUCUAUGACCACUCUUCUGAGACUAUAUAACAUUGUUUAAUGCUCUGUGGGGGAACUCUCUCUCUUGACCCUCUCAUUUCGAGAGUGAGCGAGAGUUCCAGGUUCGAACCUGUAAUAAAGAUCCUUGCUGCUUAGCUUCGACUCUGGACUCUGGUGGUCUUCUUCGGGGAAUAAACGGACUGGGCCUAACAGACCCACCCCUCCUCGGCCUCCCAAAGUGCUGGGAUUGCAGGCUUGAGCCACUGUGCCCGGCCGACAGAUGUUUUUAAGAGAUCACCUUGUCUGCUGGGUGGAGAAUCUUUCUAGUGGGUCAAAAGGUGAAGGCAGGAGACAGAAGUGUGGGCACAGGUAAAAUACAGAGGCCUGGGAGCGUGGAGGGGCCCCAGGAGGGCUGUCUCAGGGGCUGCUGCUGUGCCUUCCUAGGAGCCCGCAGGGGCUCCAGGCCCCUUAUCCCCACCUGCAAUGUGCAACUCAUUACCUGGCUUCAGACAGGUUUCUGAUAAGAACCAAGGAGGUCCAGUGCCUGUGCCUCUAAGAAUGCUGCUUCUUGGGGAAAAUCCUGCCUCUCAGGCACUUUGCAUCUUCUGAGUCUUCUGGCCACUGAGCCCUCACACCCUCCC